GGAUUGGCGUAUCGGUCGUGCCUCACGGGGUAUGAACUGGUGCAGUCAAUUUCUCACCUUCUGGAGAACCGCGAUGUCCUUAAUUGGAUGCCGUGGGGAACCAGGACCUUUACUUUUUGAAAAAUUAGAGUGUUUAAAGCAGGCAUUUUGCUUGAAUACAUUAGCAUGGAAUAAUAAAAUAGGACGGCAUGGUUCUAUUUUGUUGGUUUCUAGGACCACCGU
RNAcentral lists this ribosomal RNA (222 nucleotides) under uncultured Glomeromycotina. RNAcentral describes it as "partial 18S ribosomal RNA". Lineage: Eukaryota; Fungi; Glomeromycota. The record is from RNAcentral.